CCAGACUCCUACGGGAGGCAGCAGUGGGGAAUAUUGCACAAUGGGGGAAACCCUGAUGCAGCGACGCCGCGUGAGUGAAGAAGUAUUUCGGUAUGUAAAGCUCUAUCAGCAGGGAAGAAAAUGACGGUACCUGACUAAGAAGCCCCGGCUAACUACGUGCCAGCAGCCGCGGUAAUACGUAGGGGGCAAGCGUUAUCCGGAUUUACUGGGUGUAAAGGGAGCGUAGACGGCGAAGCAAGUCUGAAGUGAAAACCCAGGGCUCAACCCUGGGACUGCUUUGGAAACUGUCAGGCUGGAGUACAGGAGAGGUAAGCGGAAUUCCUAGUGUAGCGGUGAAAUGCGUAGAUAUUAGGAGGAACACCAGUGGCGAAGGCGGCUUACUGGACGGCAACUGACGCUGAGGCUCGAAAGCGUGGGGAGCAAACAGGAUUAGAUACCCUAGUA
This 444-nucleotide ribosomal RNA is filed under the name uncultured bacterium. Its description in RNAcentral is "bacterial SSU rRNA". It matches the Rfam family "Bacterial small subunit ribosomal RNA", at positions 331 to 792 of the family's 1533-position model. The record is from RNAcentral.